RNAcentral lists this ribosomal RNA (255 nucleotides) under uncultured bacterium. RNAcentral describes it as "partial 16S ribosomal RNA". It matches the Rfam family "Bacterial small subunit ribosomal RNA", at positions 524 to 776 of the family's 1533-position model. The record is from RNAcentral.
GACAGAGGGUGCAAACGUUGCUCGGAAUUACUGGGCGUAAAGGGCGCGUAGGCGGUGCGGUAAGUCUGCGGUGAAAUCUCCCGGCUCAACUGGGAGUCUGCCGUGGAAACUGCCGUGCUUGAGUGUGGGAGAGGUGAGUGGAAUUCCCGGUGUAGCGGUGAAAUGCGUAGAUAUCGGGGAGGAACACCUGUGGCGAAAGCGGCGCACUGGACCACAUCUGACGCUGGAGGCGCGAAAGCUAGGGGAGCAAACAGG